AAUUGCCCCAUAAUUCUCUUUUCAUUCUCUUUUAAGGAAAAGAAUACUCCACUUGUCUUCCGUAAGUAGUCAAAAAUGGCUUCUACUGAUCAGGAUAUUACUUCAACCAGCCCUUUGCCAUCAAGAGGAUGAAGGAUCUUCUAGUAAUUCAUAGUUUCCAGCAUAUAAAGCCUUUUUUCACAUGCUGAGAAAUGAGAAGGCACAUUACUAGUUGGAGCAAUGGCAAUCAGCAAUGAAAUCAGUUCUUCUUCUCCUGACCUGUUUCCUCAUCACUGGCCUGACCCUUGGACAUGCCACCAGAAAGAGAUUUACCCACUUAAGCAUUUCUCUAUGAUCUGCAUCUGUUGCUGGAGAUGAUCAUGUGUAUCUGCCUUUUUUUGAGAACU
This 386-nucleotide long non-coding RNA is filed under the name Parus major (Great Tit). RNAcentral describes it as "lncRNA (ENSPMJG00000015086.1)". Lineage: Eukaryota; Metazoa; Chordata; Aves; Passeriformes; Paridae. The record is from RNAcentral.